AAGCCAACCCUCAAUAACUUGGCGCCUCGUGGCGCGACCUCCUCUUCUGGAGAGGGCGCGCUGCGGGGUGACUUGGUGCUACCUUAACAAUAUUCCGAAGCUCUUCGGGUGCUUGCUCUUCGGGAUACUCGGGGUACUUACUUGGGCGUCCUCCUCCUCUUCAAGGCUGCAUUCAGCUCC
This 180-nucleotide ribosomal RNA is filed under the name Ptychostomum pseudotriquetrum. Its description in RNAcentral is "Bryum pseudotriquetrum partial 18S ribosomal RNA". The record is from RNAcentral. Lineage: Eukaryota; Viridiplantae; Streptophyta; Bryopsida; Bryales; Bryaceae.